AUUGAACGCUGGCGGCAGGCCUAACACAUGCAAGUCGAGCGGCAGCGGAAAGUAGCUUGCUACUUUGCCGGCGAGCGGCGGACGGGUGAGUAAUGUCUGGGGAACUGCUCGAUGGAGGGGGAUAACUACUGGAAACGGUAGCUAAUACCGCAUAACGUCGCAAGACCAAAGAGGGGGACCUUCGGGCCUCUUGCCAUCGGAUGUGCCCAGAUGGGAUUAGCUAGUAGGUGGGGUAACGGCUCACCUAGGCGACGAUCCCUAGCUGGUCUGAGAGGAUGACCAGCCACACUGGAACUGAGACACGGUCCAGACUCCUACGGGAGGCAGCAGUGGGGAAUAUUGCACAAUGGGCGCAAGCCUGAUGCAGCCAUGCCGCGUAUGAAGAAGGCCUUCGGGUUGUAAAGUACUUUCAGCGGGGAGGAAGGUGUUGAGGUUAAUAACCUCAGCAAUUGACGUUACCCGCAGAAGAAGCACCGGCUAACUCCGUGCCAGCCGCCGCCGUAA
This 504-nucleotide ribosomal RNA is filed under the name uncultured bacterium. Its description in RNAcentral is "partial 16S ribosomal RNA". It matches the Rfam family "Bacterial small subunit ribosomal RNA", at positions 30 to 523 of the family's 1533-position model. The record is from RNAcentral.